AUUCUCCUCUUUUUCCUCCCACGUCGCCUGUACGUGACAGUUAUUUUCCUCUAUUUCAAAAACCACCAACCUCAUAGAUAUGUCUCAUAACUAUCACUCCUUCUCCAUCUCUCUAUGCUUCUAUAUCUGUAUGUGCCUCAUCGGUCUCGGUGAUUAUUCCGAGGAGUAGUCACAAUCGAAUGCCUAUCUAUCCCAACACAGAAGUAGAUCGUUGUACAUUCACCGUAAUCGACCACCGCCAUAACUAUAUCGUCUACAAAAAGAUUUGAUUUGCAAUUUCUUCAAUCACACAGAAACUAUUUGUCUCUUCACCUAAAGUGCAACCACAUGACUCCAUUUGAAUCACCUCAUGAAGUGGUUUAAUUUGAUUGCUGCAGUGAAGUUGUUCCAGAGUAAGGAUUUAGGUUUGAUUAUAGGUUGUGCUCACAUGAUUAACAUUCGUUCUACGUUUAAUUUGUCAGAAGAAACUGACUACAAAAUGAUGUAGAUGGACCCUAAACCGUUUCCAGAAGAGUACGAAAAGUGUAUUGUUCAUUCAAAUACCCCUUGGGGGUUUUGCUGUACGGACCACCUGGAAGCUAAAGCCAUUGCAAAGGAAUCUGGAGUUGUUUUUUAUCCAUGUUACGGUUUCCAAUAUAAUAGCUAGUGGCUUGGUGAUGCUAAAAAACUUGAUCUCGAUGCCUAAAAUGCUUAUAGAUGUAACAUUGGGUGACCAACAACAAAGAAACCUUUCGAUGCUGCUUUUAAGAGAUUUUGUCAUGUUCGUGCGAAGGGGCACGAAUGUAGUUGCUUCCUGGCGUUUGCGAGAAUGGAAUUGGAUCUCUCAGUGAAUCUCGAGUUUUGCCUAUUCCAGCUGGUGAUCUUAGUUUUGGCUCGAGGAUACAACUAAAAAAGGCGAUGUAUUAGGAAGGGGGUGUGGCAUCGCAAGGGGGUCGGUCUCUCUCUCUCUGUUUAGAUGGCUCAUGGACAGGUUAUCAGUAGACACCAAUGCUGCUCAUGAAGGCAACACUACAACCGGUGAACUGAGAUGGAAAUUGGUAGCUUGCAUUAUGCAAAUGGCUCAGUUGGUACCCUGAGUUUGUGUUUUUUUGCGGUGCUCGACACACGGAGUAAUUUGUUUUGGAUUUCUUAUGAUUGCCGAAGCUACGUGAAAGGAGUGGUCACAAGAACAUGAAGAGUAUAUAUGAUUGUGUAAGAGUGGCUAGCCUUCAAUAUAUACAACCCUAACACAUUCACAACGAGUUAAAGAGUUCUUUGCAGUAGUAGCUCAUGUAGACUAAACACCUAGCAAGUGAUCCCCAUAUUACAAUACCUCAAACUGGAAUUUUCUUUUUGUUCAUGGUUUUAAUCUUGAAAUUUGUCUAUUAACAUUUGUGAUAUUGUUAUAACCUUGGUCAGGUUUAUAUCAAUUUCUGGAGGUGUCUAUUUUCACCUGAGGAUGCAGAGUUGAAGACGACUAUGUUUCGGUUCAACAUUUAAAUCAUAUCCAAAGAGUCGAUGCAGAUGUAGGAUGUUUUAUGUGUUGUUGAAAUAAUUGGCAGAAGUGAGACAGGUUAGAGGUGUGAGACCCAUGUCCUUAAGAGAAAUGGCAAAUUUAUUCAACAGCUUGGGUUUGUUCUGGAUUGGUAAGUUAUUCAUAAUAUUAUUAUAUUUUAGUAGUGCUAAACUCCGGGUAAUACAAAGACACCGAAGUAAAAUCAGAGGGUUAGAUUAGGAAUGGAUUAUAAAUCUUUAUGUCUCUCAUUUGGUAGCUUAGAUGAUGCCAUCAAUUUCAGAUGUCAAUUUACAGUUGGUAACUUGGAUGCUUCUAUCCAAAUGCUUUGGGUGGUCUUGUACUUUCAUAUGCAAUUUCAAGAUCUCUAUAUGCACUAACAGUUAAUGUAGGCAAAGACUUCCGUA
Helianthus annuus (common sunflower) is the source of this 1899-nucleotide long non-coding RNA. RefSeq lists it as uncharacterized. The record is from RefSeq and is a predicted model, not a curated record. Lineage: Eukaryota; Viridiplantae; Streptophyta; Magnoliopsida; Asterales; Asteraceae. The transcript is spliced from 10 exons.